This 253-nucleotide ribosomal RNA is filed under the name uncultured bacterium. Its description in RNAcentral is "partial 16S ribosomal RNA". It matches the Rfam family "Bacterial small subunit ribosomal RNA", at positions 524 to 776 of the family's 1533-position model. The record is from RNAcentral.
UACGUAGGGGGCAAGCGUUAUCCGGAAUUACUGGGUGUAAAGGGAGCGUAGACGGUAAUGUAAGUCUGGAGCGAAAGGCGGGGGCCCAACCCCCGGACUGCUCUGGAAACUAUGUUACUGGAGUGCAGGAGAGGUAAGCGGAAUUCCUAGUGUAGCGGUGAAAUGCGUAGAUAUUAGGAGGAACACCAGUGGCGAAGGCGGCUUACUGGACUGUAACUGACGUUGAGGCUCGAAAGCGUGGGGAGCAAACAGG